GGGAAUAUUGCACAAUGGGGGAAACCCUGAUGCAGCAACGCCGCGUGAGUGAUGAAGGUUUUCGGAUCGUAAAGCUCUGUUGUAAGAGAAGAACGUGUGUGAGAGUGGAAAGUUCACACAGUGACGGUAACUUACCAGAAAGGGACGGCUAACUACGUGCCNG
RNAcentral lists this ribosomal RNA (163 nucleotides) under uncultured bacterium. RNAcentral's name for it is "partial 16S rRNA". It matches the Rfam family "Bacterial small subunit ribosomal RNA", at positions 357 to 511 of the family's 1533-position model. The record is from RNAcentral.